GCCCCACCAAUCAAUCCUCCCCCCUUUCCGCAAGAAACAUCCCAAACUGUAAAUGACAAUUGUGAGUUCGCCGUCAAGUCUCUAUACUUUGUGCUCAAAGUAAUAAGUUCAUUCCAGCAAAACGAUGGAGCUCCUGUUUCCAGCCUUGUUCUCAUGGGAAGUCCAAAGGGAGCACCAUCUACAUAUAAAGUACUCUCCACAUACAGCUCUGCCUUUCUCUCCUCCGUUGUAGAAUCAACAUUAUCUGAAUCAGCGAGCUUGGGUGGUAACAAUUUGCCUUCCAAUUUCUCAAUUCGGUAAGUAACAGGAAGAUUAAUAUCACACGAUAAGAAAAACCUGAAUUCGUUUCCACUCAUAGCUCUGAUUACACAACUUUUA
Molecule: unclassified non-coding RNA, 378 nt
Filed under: Hevea brasiliensis (rubber tree)
Lineage: Eukaryota; Viridiplantae; Streptophyta; Magnoliopsida; Malpighiales; Euphorbiaceae
Source: RNAcentral